Molecule: long non-coding RNA, 1116 nt
Filed under: Oncorhynchus kisutch (coho salmon)
Lineage: Eukaryota; Metazoa; Chordata; Actinopteri; Salmoniformes; Salmonidae
Description: lncRNA (ENSOKIG00005019051.1)
Source: RNAcentral
GAAAAUUCUGCAAACUCACCUGUCAUAAGAAAGAGCCGGGUGUGAAGAUAUAGCAACGAGACGCAAACCGUUUCUGAUUGGACAUUCGGCAGAGCUUGCGAAACCGCGACAUCUGGAGGAGAGAGUAGGCUACAAAAUAUUUGCGCGAGACGGCAGUGCAGAACAAUCCAAAUCCCGUCUUGGAGACCGAGAGCCACAGCCAUGCAGCCUACCGACCAUCAAGUGCCAGCUCUCUCUCUCACCGCAAGGCGAGUUGAAAAACACCCAAGAGGAUAGGUGGAGAGAUGAAGCCAGUUUGUCCUGGGCUCCUACUAAAAGAGGUUCUCUCUCUCAUCGCAAGGCAAGUUGAAAAACACCAAAGAGGAUAGGUGGAGAGAUGAAGCCAGUUUGUCCUGGGCUCCUACUAAAAGAGGCUCUCUCUCUCACUGCAAGGAUCUAUAAAGACUGCAAAGUGCAAGUUACUGAGGAACAAAUACAACAAAACAAAGGUGGGAAAAGAGAGGGAGUGUGUGUGUAAUGGUGAGAGAAAACAGAGGGAAUGUGUAUGGAAUGGUGAGAGAAAACAGAGGGAGUGUGUGUGUAAUGGUGAGAGAAAAGAGAGGGAGUGUGUGUGUAAUGGUGAGAGAAAAGAACAGGAGUGUGUGUGGAUGGUGAGAGAAAAGAACAGGAGUGUGUGUGGAAUGGUGAGAGAAAAGAACAGGAGUGUGUGUGUAAUGGUGAGAGAAAAGAACAGGAGUGUGUGUGGAUGGUGAGAGAAAAGAACAGGAGUGUGUGUGUAAUGGUGAGAGAAAAGAACAGGAGUGUGUGUGGAUGGUGAGAGAAAAGAACAGGAGUGUGUGUGGAAUGGUGAGAGAAAAGAGAGGGAGUGUAGUUGUGAAAUGUAAUUUGGGAAUCAAUCAGCAUCCAUUAACCUGUGGGGCCAUCUCUCUUGUCUUUUUCUCUAUUUCUCUCCUUCAAUCUUGAUUUUUCUCUCUCUCUCCUUUGCUAAAUGUUCUCUCUCUCAGCAUGGCAAUGUGUGUACUCACUGCUCGCCCAAGCAGCGCCCAUACACCCGCUGUUUCGCCAGCCCACUCCCUAACUAAACUUUACUCACCCCCGCCUGCAACCCUCCCUCAC